Mustela erminea (ermine) is the source of this 5612-nucleotide long non-coding RNA. RefSeq lists it as uncharacterized. The record is from RefSeq and is a predicted model, not a curated record. The transcript has 3 exons. Lineage: Eukaryota; Metazoa; Chordata; Mammalia; Carnivora; Mustelidae.
UCCCCGCCCCCUUCCCCUCCCUGGGACCGCCUGAGAGGGCGGAGAGGAGGCGCCGGGCCUGACGGUGGGGGAGGGUGUAGGGAAGGGGGCGGGCAUGGGCCGGGGGUGGAGUCGGGACUCGGGGGUAGUAGGGCGGGGGCCAGCUGGAGACCCGAGAAACCCCAGGGGGCAGGAGCCGCCCCGGCUUGUGUGCCGGGGCCGCCGCGGCCGCGGUGUCGGGGUACGGGUCGUGAGUGGCGGCACCGGCCGCCACGUGGCCGGGAGGAGAAAUGCAAACAAGGAAACCGGGGUGAAGGGGGAGGGGGGUGAGUCAUUGCGGCCCCACCCGGGAGGGAAAUCCGGGCUGGGGCCGCUUCCCGGCCGGGGGCGUCCUGCCUCCUGUUUCGGUUCAGGGUCUCGAACAACUCGGGGGAGGGACUGGGCUGCUUUCCCGUGGGGAAUCCCGCUGCCGAGCCUCCCCUCCCCAAGACACACACACGCACACACACGCACGGACGCGGGUGGGGAAAUUGAGGCCGGAGAAGAAGAGCGACUCUCCAGGAGGGAUGGAGGCCGGAGUUGUGGCGGAGCUGUGGAAAAGAGGGGGUUUUCGAGAACCACGCCCGCAGCCCGCUCCCCGGCUGCCGGGCGGCUGGAGGCUGAGCCUCGGGAUUCCAGAGUCCUCUGCAGGCUCUGGACCAAAGGCCCGUCGCCUUCCUGGGCUUCAGUGUCCACCACCGCGCAGAUGGCCCAGAGCCGCCCUCUUCGCCCCACUCCAGCUUCGGAGAAGGAGGGGAGACAGUGGCCCCUCACCGCGACACCGAAGCGCCCAGUAAUUGGUCAGGACAGGGAUGAGGGUUUUGAAGGGACUCGCACACCCCGCCCCCAGCCUCCUAGGACUCAGGUUUUUGGCCCAGUCGCUGUCCCUUGCAUUUUGCUGCUGUGCCUGCCUGAACUGGGGACUAGCCAUACCUCCUGUUUGAAACGCUGAGCCCCCAUCUCCCACCCGCGAUUAUUUUCUCAAAGACAGUUUAUAAUGGUGAUUAAAAUCUCAAUUUUAAUAUGUAUUUUAAAAUCCACCCAGGAGCUUAUGAAAAUGAAAGUUUUAUCCUCCCCGCUCCCCCCAAUUCAGAUUCCGUUCUAUUGGCAUGAAGUGGAAAAUCUGUAUUCUGAGCAAAUAUCCCAAGGUUGUCUGCUGGGUUCACAUUUUCAGAAAUGAUGGUGGAGUUUUUCAGGGGAGAGGGGGAACCUGAGAAUAAAUUUUGCUCCACACGGAAACCCAGCCACCAGCACCCCACCCCCCUCCACCAACACAUUCUGGGAAUUUGCGAGAAGGGAGAACAGCUUAGCUGUUGGCAGGAAAGAAUAACAGGCCGGGGGCACAGGGGUGCAUGCCGAAGUGAGUUGAGGGGAGCGGAAGUUUUAGGUUGCUGGGGCUAGUGACCUGAUCUAGAAGGUCUUACAGAGGAGUUCCAAGGGACUGGCAGUGGGGUCAGAAAGGGGUCCCCCAUUUUGUCUUUAUACCUGCCCUUACAUGGGCAGGUGGAAAAGGAGCUGGAAAGUGGAGCAGGACAUCUGCGUAGCUGCGGACCUCUCAGGAAGCCAUGAAAGCCUGUAGGUGCCUGGCAGCCUUCCAAGUGCUUCAUGUAUGUAAUCUCUGCUGCUUGAUACCCUGUGAACCCACACUACCCUUAUUCCCACUUUAUAUGCAUGGGGAAACUGAGGCUCCGAGGUAUUAAGUGACUGGCCAAGGUGACACAGCUAGCAAAUGAUGAGCUGGGGCUUCAGUCCAGGUUGCCAGGACCCACGUGUCCCCCAUGUUAUUCUGCAUUGUGUAUCCAUCGUAUUUGUUCUCCUAAUCUGGACUCUAUGCCUAAAAGAGAAAGCUGUGGAAAAAGAAAUUGAGCAUGCCUGCAGGGGUUGGGAGGUCCAAAGAAAGCCAUUCAAAUGGAUGCAAGUGGAAGUGUCUCAGACCCACUUUCCCCUUAGCUACGUUCUCCUUCAACACUACUCUUUCCUUGCUUUUCUUUUCUCUGGGCUCUUUCUCAUUUCCCCUCUCCUGGGAGACCUAGAGGUCUCCAUUCUCAUUACCUGAAGGCAAAGCCUCCUGCCCUCUCCUGCCCCCACCCCCAGGCAGCUGAUGGGCCCAGGAUUUUCCUGGUUUUUCCCUCUCCGGAUUCCUGAGUGAGGGCUGCCUGGUAGAAUGACCACACAACAGAUGUUUAAUCAGGGCUGAGGCCUGCAGGUGGCAGGGGACAAGGGGAGUGUGUCUGAGGAAGAUAUCCCAAGACAGACAGUGAGACAUCUUGGGAAACCAUCGUGCCCGCCCGGGGCACCCUCCACCCUCCCCUGACUGUCAUCAGAUGCCUGGAGUGUGUUAGGACAGAUCAGUGAUAACAGUUACCCUACCUCAGGCCCUGCUCUUGAUCCAUUAUAUACAUGCACAUUUUUAAUCAUUACAACAGUCCUAUGAGAUAGGUCUUAUUGUCAUCCCAUUUCACAGAUGAGGAAGUUGAGACACAAGAAAGUUAGAUGGCCUACCCAAGCUCCCCCAUAACUAGGAAAAUGGAGAGCAGUGGGUUCUACCCAAGCCAGCAGGAGUCCUGUAUGCUCUGUCAUUCUGCAAUCCUGCCUCUCAAAUACAUCGUCAGUUCCCACAAUGGGGAAAAAGCCUUUACCCAGAGUCACUCCCCACGUAGCUGGGUGCAUGGGCUCCAGAAGGAAGGGGAAGGAGAGGCACAUGAUGGAAGCUGAAGGGCAGGCCCCUUGUCCCAGUCUCCCCAUAUAAGGAACUCUCUGCUGGGGUCUGAGCCUCCUCUGCCCUGUUCCCUUCAGGAGGAUGGUAGAGGACUGCAGAGGCCCCCAGGAAUAAUGGAGGAGGGUGCACAGGUCAGGAGAGUUUCUGGCCCCCUGGUUUGGACUUGGCUCUCUCCCACCCACUGAGGUCUCUCUGCUGAGCUGUCUACUCUCCGAGCCCACAGCUUCCUGGAUCUUCCCAGGUGCCUCGUGGUAGGCAUGUCUGGACUCCUUCCUCCUGCUCUGCAUCUCCUCCCACUGCUCUCUGCUCCAGGAGCCCCACCAUUGCCUAAGCCACCAACUAGAUUCCUCCCUCUCUGCUUCCACAUCCAAUCAGCCAUGCCACAACUCUAUUACAUUCAGCCCUUAUGCCCUGGGGCCUGCCACUAGUGCUCUGGCCCAGGGUGACCUCUUCCAGCACUCACUACAUGCAGGGUGCUAGGUCACUUUUCAUCCCCAGAGCACUCUCUACUUGCAAGUGAGGACACUGAGGCACAGAGAGGUGCAGUAAGCUGCCUGCAGCCCCACAGUGGAGUUUGGUAGAGCCAGACCCAGGCAGCCAGACGGCCAAGCGCUCACUCCACCACUCUUGGGGACUGCCUCCCCACUGUGGCUUUCAGCCUCGCCCUCCUCACUGUCCUGUGCCAGGCUGCACGAAUCCUCAGUUCAUUCUGCCAUAUUUACCCGAGGGCCAGGAAUGUUGCUCUUAAACUAGGAACCCAGAAGGGAGCAGACCCCGGGCUGCAGGGCACAAGGCCCCGGGGCUGUGGGGGCAUAGGGCCAAGUGGAAUUUUCUUUAUCUCCUUAACACACCCAUCUGGUCAGGCCUCCCUCACCCAGCACAGUAUCUGAUGUAGAGAUUAGUAGUGGAAAUGAAAUGAAUGGGAACUGUGGGAGACCAGCUGGUGCCCACCAAGGGCCUGUACCCCCUCACCCCCACCCCAAUCCCUGGGGCCAGGGCGGGGGAGGGGCUGCUUUCCCCCCUGCCAGUGGUCUAGCUUCCGGGGCAUCUGGUUCCAUCUCCUUCCCUCCUCACUGCUUCCCUGCCACCUACUCUGUCCUCGGGUCCUGUGCAGCAGACUUAGCUCACAGCCUCAGCUCUGUCAUCUGAGGUUGGUUGGGGGGAUGGUCAGCAGGAGGUUAGAGGAAGUUUUAACUAAUGGCCCUCUAUGGGACUGCAGGAAAGGGCCAGGUUGGAAACCAGGGGAUGGAAGGGCUCUGCCUGGGAACCUGGGCCUGCUGCAGCCUCCCUCCGCAUCAUCGCUGGGAUUCUACCUGGGCCGUGGCCGAUUGACAAGGGAGAGGAACUUGAGCCUAAUACCCUCGUGGGGGCUCUGCCUCCUGGCCCUGGAAGGUUUCAAGUCCUCCCAGACCUGCCCAGGUACCUUGCUCUGAAGGUGGUUCCAGUUCAGUUCCCACCUCCCCUCCCUGCCCAUUCCUGGGGUGGGGGGCUGAGGUCCGGAGCUGGAACACUAAUGGGCAUGAAGCCAAACCUUCUCAGGACCAGCAGGUUCCAGCCCGGUGCUCAUGGGCCACUUUGACAGCAGUGGAGCAGGAGGAGAAGAGCAACGGGCUCCUGGCAAGUUGGGAGGGAAGGCUGGACAGGGCUGGGGACCGGGGACGAUCUGAUGGAGGCAGCAACAGGGACCCCAUCAUUUCCUGGAGGCAUAGUCUCCCGGCUGGUGCUCAGGCUAGUCAUGUGUGACGGGGGCAAGGAAACAAUCACUGAGCAGGCCCGUGGUGGUGACGGUGGUGGCCGGAGGGUGAGGAGAGGCUGGGAGAGCAGGAGGGAAGGCAGGGACAGGUCUGGAGCUGCGUGGGAGGGAACAGGCCUGCCUAGCAGGCAAAUGUGCUGUUCUAUGAAUGUGCAUGAAGUAGGAGCUGCUUUGUCUCAAGCUGCUGCUUUUCAAGGGCUGUGUGUGUGUGUGUGUGUGUGUGUGUGUCCCAAAUACCCAGGAGACCUGUAUCUGACCUUGAGUCAUUAGUGUAGGGAAGCAGCCACUCCAGGCCAGUUGUAGCCACGGCCCCUCAGGCUCUGAUCACCUCUCCUUCCCCCUCACCCCUGCAGCUCUGUCAGGACUCCCAGCCUACACUUGCCUUUGCCCCAGCACACACCACUCCUAGCCAUUCCCUGAGGCUGACCACCCACCCUACCUCCUCCCUCUUGCCUCUUCCCAGCAUUCCUGCCUUCCCUAGUCUCAAGCCCUCCAGUCUUCCAACCCAUCCUAAGCCCAUGGCCUUUGUUCUGCACCUACUUGACCCUCAUGUUCUAGACCCCGGCAGGAGCAGCUGCCGGAGCCCGAGGGGGUCUCCUGGGAGGGUCCCUGAUGCUGCUUGUGAAAUGCUCCAUUCUCUCUGGAUCUAGAACAUUGGCUGAGAAGGGAAAAGGAUGUGGAGAAUUAGAGGCCUCUUGAGGCCUGAAUCCUGAUUUCAUCUUCCCUGAUGCCCUUGGUUCUCCUUACGCCCAGGCGCCUCAGGCCUCAGCUGAAAGCAGGUACUUAGUGGGGCCCUCGGAGCCGGCUGCCCCCACGGCCUGCAAGGCCACACUCCUGGCGCUCACCACAGCCAACAUGAAAUCUCUUCUUAGUUAUGACUGUGUUUCUUCCUUCAAGGGAAUGUGAUCUCCCAAAUGGCAGGACCGGGCUUUGCUCUGUCAAGGCCACACAGACUUCACGCAGUCAGGACCUCAUGCACAGAAGAUCCUCAAGGGAGGUUUCUUGAAUUCAGCAGGCACCCCCAAACAACCGGGCGGCCCCAGCAGCUCACUUGGAGAAGCUCCGGCCGCGCGGCGCGGGUUCCGGGCACGGGCGGCCUCCGGCCGGGGAGGGCGCUGUGCC